RNAcentral lists this small RNA (562 nucleotides) under chicken gut metagenome. The record is from RNAcentral.
UUAUAUUGUGAAGAUGCAGUAUUCUAGUCAAUCACAAUUGCUAGGACGACGAAGCAAAUAGCGUCGAAGGGCACAUCGAUGAAGUUUCUGGUGCAAGCUUUGAUUGCCCAAAUUGGGGUUUGUGCUGGAAGUUAAGAUUAUUGGGCAGGUUAUAAUGGCAUAUAGCUGUCGACCCAAUUUUCGCGGAGACCAAACAGGGUGCAAAUUAAAUUUCCACUCUCUUGGUAAGAACCUGCAAUGCGGUAAAAGCCGUGUGCAGAGUAGCCUGCUUUGAGUGAGCAUACUGGGGAUUAGAUUAUAUAUGCGAAUUAAUUUUGGCCAAAGUUGAUUCACAUCUUUCUAUGAAACUAUGUUUGCAAAACAAGCGAAUAGUAAAUGUGGUUGUUAAGGAAAACUUCUAGACUGUUGCUGGGUAGCUAGCAGAAGUAGGAUUAUAGUGUGUUCUGAGUGGCGAUUCGGUGUUAUGUCUUGUUUAAAAGGAAACUGCUUUAACGGUGACGUUAAGUACAAGGCUGGGAAAUCCGACCGAACCUAUGACACAAGGUUUACUAAUUCUGUGGUC